Molecule: ribosomal RNA, 529 nt
Filed under: uncultured bacterium
Lineage: Bacteria
Description: bacterial SSU rRNA
Rfam family: Bacterial small subunit ribosomal RNA
Source: RNAcentral
CACAUGCAAGUCGAGGGGCAGCAUGAACUUAGCUUGCUAAGUUUGAUGGCGACCGGCGCACGGGUGAGUAACACGUAUCCAACCUGCCGAUGACUCGGGGAUAGCCUUUCGAAAGAAAGAUUAAUACCCGAUGGCAUAGUUCUUCCGCAUGGUAGAACUAUUAAAGAAUUUCGGUCAUCGAUGGGGAUGCGUUCCAUUAGGUUGUUGGCGGGGUAACGGCCCACCAAGCCUUCGAUGGAUAGGGGUUCUGAGAGGAAGGUCCCCCACAUUGGAACUGAGACACGGUCCAAACUCCUACGGGAGGCAGCAGUGAGGAAUAUUGGUCAAUGGACGAGAGUCUGAACCAGCCAAGUAGCGUGAAGGAUGACUGCCCUAUGGGUUGUAAACUUCUUUUAUACGGGAAUAAAGUGAGGCACGUGUGCCUUUUUGUAUGUACCGUAUGAAUAAGGAUCGGCUAACUCCGUGCCAGCAGCCGCGGUAAUACGGAGGAUCCGAGCGUUAUCCGGAUUUAUUGGGUUUAAAGGGAGCG